Molecule: ribosomal RNA, 748 nt
Filed under: uncultured beta proteobacterium
Lineage: Bacteria; Pseudomonadati; Pseudomonadota; Betaproteobacteria
Description: bacterial SSU rRNA
Rfam family: Bacterial small subunit ribosomal RNA
Source: RNAcentral
AUUGAACGCUGGCGGCAUGCCUUACACAUGCAAGUCGAACGGUAACAGGUCUUCGGAUGCUGACGAGUGGCGAACGGGUGAGUAAUACAUCGGAACGUGCCCAGUAAUGGGGGAUAGCUCGGCGAAAGCCGGAUUAAUACCGCAUACGCCCUGAGGGGGAAAGUGGGGGAUCGCAAGACCUCACGUUAUUGGAGCGGCCGAUGGCUGAUUAGCUAGUUGGUAGGGUAAAGGCCUACCAAGGCGACGAUCAGUAGCUGGUCUGAGAGGACGAUCAGCCACACUGGGACUGAGACACGGCCCAGACUCCUACGGGAGGCAGCAGUGGGGAAUUUUGGACAAUGGGGGAAACCCUGAUCCAGCAAUGCCGCGUGUGCGAAGAAGGCCUUCGGGUUGUAAAGCACUUUUGUCAGGGAAGAAAUCCUUUGGGCUAAUACCCUAGGGGGAUGACGGUACCUGAAGAAUAAGCACCGGCUAACUACGUGCCAGCAGCCGCGGUAAUACGUAGGGUGCAAGCGUUAAUCGGAAUUACUGGGCGUAAAGCGUGCGCAGGCGGUUGUGUAAGACAGGUGUGAAAUCCCCGGGCUUAACCUGGGAAUUGCAUUUGUGACUGCACGACUAGAGUGUGUCAGAGGGGGGUGGAAUUCCACGUGUAGCAGUGAAAUGCGUAGAUAUGUGGAGGAACACCAAUGGCGAAGGCAGCCCCCUGGGAUAACACUGACGCUCAUGCACGAAGCGUGGGGAGCAAACA